CCUACGGGAGGCUGCAGUGGGGAAUAUUGCACAAUGGGCGCAAGCCUGAUGCAGCCAUGCCGCGUGUGUGAAGAAGGCCUUCGGGUUGUAAAGCACUUUCAGCGGGGAGGAAGGCGUUAAGGUUAAUAACCUUGGCGAUUGACGUUACCCGCAGAAGAAGCACCGGCUAACUCCGUGCCAGCAGCCGCGGUAAUACGGAGGGUGCAAGCGUUAAUCGGAAUUACUGGGCGUAAAGCACACGCAGGCGGUCUGUCAAGUCGGAUGUGAAAUCCCCGGGCUCAACCUGGGAACUGCAUUCGAAACUGGCAGGCUAGAGUCUUGUAGAGGGGGGUAGAAUUCCAGGUGUAGCGGUGAAAUGCGUAGAGAUCUGGAGGAAUACCGGUGGCGAAGGCGGCCCCCUGGACAAAGACUGACGCUCAGGUGCGAAAGCGUGGGGAGCAAACAGGAUUAGAUACCCCGGUAGUC
RNAcentral lists this ribosomal RNA (465 nucleotides) under uncultured Klebsiella sp. Its description in RNAcentral is "bacterial SSU rRNA". It matches the Rfam family "Bacterial small subunit ribosomal RNA", at positions 338 to 795 of the family's 1533-position model. The record is from RNAcentral. Lineage: Bacteria; Pseudomonadati; Pseudomonadota; Gammaproteobacteria; Enterobacterales; Enterobacteriaceae.